RNAcentral lists this ribosomal RNA (252 nucleotides) under uncultured Bacteroidales bacterium. RNAcentral's name for it is "partial 16S ribosomal RNA". It matches the Rfam family "Bacterial small subunit ribosomal RNA", at positions 524 to 776 of the family's 1533-position model. Lineage: Bacteria; Pseudomonadati; Bacteroidota; Bacteroidia; Bacteroidales. The record is from RNAcentral.
UACGUAGGGGGCAAGCGUUAUCCGGAUUUACUGGGUGUAAAGGGAGCGCAGGCGGUCUGUUAAGUCAGCGGUCAAAGCCCGGGGCUCAACCCCGGCCCGCCGUUGAAACUGGCAGUCUCGAGUUGGAGAGAAGUAUGCGGAAUGCGCGGUGUAGCGGUGAAAUGCAUAGAUAUCGCGCAGAACUCCGAUUGCGAAGGCAGCCUGCCAAGCCAUGACUGACGCUGAUGCACGAAAGCGUGGGGAUCGAACAGG